AUACGUAGGGAGCGAGCGUUGUCCGGAAUUACUGGGUGUAAAGGGAGCGUAGGCGGGAGUGCAAGUCAGAUGUGAAAUACAUGGGCUCAACCCAUGGGCUGCAUUUGAAACUGCAUUUCUUGAGUGACGUAGAGGUAAGCGGAAUUCCUGGUGUAGCGGUGAAAUGCGUAGAUAUCAGGAGGAACACCGGUGGCGAAGGCGGCUUACUGGGCUUUUACUGACGCUGAGGCUCGAAAGCGUGGGGAGCAAACAGGAUUAGAUACCCUGGUAGUCCACGCUGUAAACGAUGAUUACUAGGUGUGGGGGGACUGACCCCUUCCGUGCCGCAGUUAACACAAUAAGUAAUCCACCUGGGGAGUACGGCCGCAAGGUUGAAACUCAAAUGAAUUGACGGGG
Molecule: ribosomal RNA, 396 nt
Filed under: uncultured bacterium
Lineage: Bacteria
Description: partial 16S ribosomal RNA
Rfam family: Bacterial small subunit ribosomal RNA
Source: RNAcentral